This 491-nucleotide ribosomal RNA is filed under the name uncultured bacterium. Its description in RNAcentral is "partial 16S ribosomal RNA". It matches the Rfam family "Bacterial small subunit ribosomal RNA", at positions 30 to 506 of the family's 1533-position model. The record is from RNAcentral.
AGUGAACGCUGGCGGUAGGCCUAACACAUGCAAGUCGAACGGCAGCACAGUAAGAGCUUGCUAUUACGGGUGGCGAGUGGCGGACGGGUGAGGAAUACAUCGGAAUCUACUUUUUCGUGGGGGAUAACGUAGGGAAACUUACGCUAAUACCGCAUACGACCUACGGGUGAAAGCAGGGGAUCUUCGGACCUUGCGCGAUUGAAUGAGCCGAUGGCGGAUUAGCUAGUUGGCGGGGUAAAGGCCCACCAAGGGGACGAUCCGUAGCUGGGCUGAGAGGGGGAGCCGCCACGCGGGAGCUGAGAGACGGUCCAGACUCCUGCGGGAGGCAGCAGUGGGGAAUAUUGGACAAGGGGCGCAAGCCUGAUCAAGCCAGACCGCGUGGGUGAAGAAGGCCUUCGGGUUGUAAAGCCCUUUUGUGGGGAAAGAAAAGCAGCAGGUUAAUACCCCGCUGUUCUGACGGUACCCAAAGAAUAAGCACCGGCUAACUUCGG